RNAcentral lists this ribosomal RNA (164 nucleotides) under Lathyrus ochroleucus. RNAcentral describes it as "5.8S ribosomal RNA". The stretch from base 1 to 139 matches the Rfam family "5.8S ribosomal RNA", at positions 18 to 154 of the family's 154-position model. Rfam says of the family: 5.8S ribosomal RNA (5.8S rRNA) is a component of the large subunit of the eukaryotic ribosome. It is transcribed by RNA polymerase I as part of the 45S precursor that also contains 18S and 28S rRNA. The record is from RNAcentral. Lineage: Eukaryota; Viridiplantae; Streptophyta; Magnoliopsida; Fabales; Fabaceae.
AUCUAGGCUCUUGCAUCGAUGAAGAACGUAGCGAAAUGCGAUACUUGGUGUGAAUUGCAGAAUCCCGUGAACCAUCGAGUCUUUGAACGCAAGUUGCGCCCGAUGCCAUUAGGUUGAGGGCACGUCUGCCUGGGUGUCACAUAUCGAAGCCACCUGCCAAUUUC